This 425-nucleotide ribosomal RNA is filed under the name uncultured bacterium. RNAcentral describes it as "partial 16S ribosomal RNA". It matches the Rfam family "Bacterial small subunit ribosomal RNA", at positions 354 to 796 of the family's 1533-position model. The record is from RNAcentral.
GUGGGGAAUCUUGCGCAAUGGGCGAAAGCCUGACGCAGCCAUGCCGCGUGAAUGAUGAAGGUCUUAGGAUUGUAAAAUUCUUUCACCGGGGACGAUAAUGACGGUACCCGGAGAAGAAGCUCCGGCUAACUUCGUGCCAGCAGCCGCGGUAAUACGAAGGGGGCUAGCGUUGCUCGGAAUUACUGGGCGUAAAGGGCGCGUAGGCGGACAGCUUAGUCAGAGGUGAAAGCCCAGGGCUCAACCUUGGAAUUGCCUUUGAUACUGGCUGUCUUGAGUUUGGGAGAGGUGAGUGGAACUCCGAGUGUAGAGGUGAAAUUCGGAGAUAUUCGGAAGAACACCAGUGGCGAAGGCGACUCACUGGCCCAAUACUGACGCUGAGGCGCGAAAGCGUGGGGAGCAAACAGGAUUAGAUACCCCAGUAGUCC